RNAcentral lists this ribosomal RNA (429 nucleotides) under Gemmatimonadota bacterium. RNAcentral describes it as "Gemmatimonadetes bacterium partial 16S ribosomal RNA". It matches the Rfam family "Bacterial small subunit ribosomal RNA", at positions 355 to 776 of the family's 1533-position model. Lineage: Bacteria; Pseudomonadati; Gemmatimonadota. The record is from RNAcentral.
UAGGGAAUCUUCGGCAAUGGACGAAAGUCUGACCGAGCAACGCCGCGUGAGUGAAGAAGGUUUUCGGAUCGUAAAACUCUGUUGUUAGAGAAGAACAAGGACGUUAGUAACUGAACGUCCCCUGACGGUAUCUAACCAGAAAGCCACGGCUAACUACGUGCCAGCAGCCGCGGUAAUACGUAGGUGGCAAGCGUUGUCCGGAUUUAUUGGGCGUAAAGCGAGCGCAGGCGGUUUCUUAAGUCUGAUGUGAAAGCCCCCGGCUCAACCGGGGAGGGUAAUUGGAAACUGGGAGACUUGAGUGCAGAAGAGGAGAGUGGAAUUCCAUGUGUAGCGGUGAAAUGCGUAGAUAUAUGGAGGAACACCAGUGGCGAAGGCGGCACUCUGGUCUGUAACUGACGCUGAGGCUCGAAAGCGUGGGGAGCAAACAGG